This is a non-coding RNA of Pelobates cultripes (western spadefoot toad), 579 nucleotides long. NCBI's taxonomy places the organism in Eukaryota, Metazoa, Chordata, Amphibia, Anura, Pelobatidae. The record is from the annotation of a GenBank genome assembly.
CUCAGACCAAUGCUGGCGCUGCCACGCUGCGAGAGGCACCAUGCUGCACAUGUGGUGGACGUGCAAGCAGGUGAAUCAACUGUGGAAAGAAACAGCCAAACUAAUCAAACGAGUCACGAAACACCAACUACCCCUCGACCCCAAAACGAUCCUACUGCGCUCGUUACAGGGAAACAUCCCGAAGCCGAUCCGAAAAAUUAUAUACCUCAUCCUAAGUACAGUAUCCAUACUAAUAGCCAGAAACUGGAAAACAACUACGCUGCCCUCGCUCCAAGACAUAGAAAAAGUAAUGACCUCAACAGUAGAACAUGAACUAAUAAUGUGGAAUCAGUCGAAAAUUGGGAAACUCAGCCCCCACACUGCCACAAUGUGGGAGGACUACCUACGACGAACAGACACAAGACUGACCUGAGCCCCAACACCCAUGAAAAUGACAAAAUCUCCCGAACCAGGCUUACUCUCAGCCGGAGAACACAACCACCCAGCACCCAAACACCCAAGAAGGCACCACACAAAGCUUCAAACAUAUUGUUGUUACAGUCACUACACUACACAGGAUGUCCCCCGCUAGGUACUCCA